CCCGAAUUAGAGGUACCCACUUAUGGGUGGGUAAAUUACUGCAAGAGAAGAUCAAGGAAGUCACUCGCCAUCUGUGAGGGAGGCAGCGGAGCCCCAGAGGCACUGGGGAGAGGCAGCUGGGCCUCGAGCUUGUGGUUGCAGAUUGGAGCUGGCCAGGUGCUCCUGAAUGCUUUCAUCCAUUUAAGGAACAUUUACGGCACUGUGAGAGAGGAUGCCAAGGAUACCAAGAGACCUGCCAAGGAUACCAAGGAUGCCAAGAGAUCUGAUGCAUAGUCUUACCCUCAAUGGGCUUACAAAGUACUGGGGGGAGACUCCGAUCCGGCCGCUGCCAUGUUGGCCACCAAGGGUAUGGGUUUGGUGGCCUCUGAGCAAAAUGCCUGCCUUUGGCAGGGAGACGGACCUAGCUCUGCUGCUGACCAGCAGUGUGGCAUUGGCCAACCAUCCUAAACUUCUUGCAUCCUUAUCCAUAAAGGGCAACACGAGAGCUAUCAUUUACCACCUGCCUGCAGGGUUUCAGCUGUUUCACAGUCAUUACUAUAGGGAAUUCUCACAACACACUGAAGCCAGUAUUAUUUCCAUUUAACAGACGGGAAAACUGAAGCUCCAGUAAGCAAGUAGCUUGCCCCGUUCACUCAGUAAGUGGCUGAGGACAGAACUAAAUCCAGCAAUGUUUGGCUUCUAAACCCGAGUUCUUUCCAUUCCUGGAUUCUGCCUCACAGGCCUGUUGUGAAGAUUAAAUGAGAUUUUUAACGCAAAAUGCCCAGAACAAAGGCUGGAUGGCAGCAGUGUCCUGGUGAGAAGUAGCUACUGUGAUCCUGAAGGGUGUCCUCCCUCCACCCAUCGCUCCCCCCACAGCACCACGCACCUCCCACGUGAAACAUGGGGGCUG
This 889-nucleotide long non-coding RNA is filed under the name Homo sapiens (human). Its description in RNAcentral is "non-protein coding lnc-MBOAT2-1:1". Lineage: Eukaryota; Metazoa; Chordata; Mammalia; Primates; Hominidae. The record is from RNAcentral.